UAAAGUUGUCACCACAAAAAAUCUCUUCUAUCCAGUAUAUUGCAGGAAAUGUUGACAGUCCGUUUGGCUGAGUCAUAUUGGCAAACAAGUUUAAGCCGAGAAAAUGAUGGGAUAUGGCCAUGGUCACACAGGCAAUGGACUGCCUGCGUGAUACAUGGAUGCCUUUGGAAUUCUAAGAGAGAAAAGGAGAGAAAUCUCUUGUUCACGUGGAGAGUGGAAGAAAGAAACAUGGCAAAAAAUCACUCUGGAUAAGAAAGUCUAGAGGGGUUUAAUCUGCAAUACUCAGGUGUACUCAAUAAAAUCAAAGAUUCCCCUCAAAGUAUGAGAGCCAAGUGAUUAAGAUUACAGUUUACAAUGCAUUUUCUGAAAAGGAGGAAAGGAAGGGAAGCCAUUAUUUAAUGAAACAUCUUUAUUAUGCUCCAAAACCACAGCAACUAGUACAGAAAUAAAUCUUUCAUGUUUGGAGACUAUCUCCUGUGUGGAGAAUUUCCUCUUUGAGGAAAACUAUCAUUAUAUUGGUAUUGGUUAUUUUAAAAACCAUAGUUCUUUUGAUAGUGCACAAUUAUUGCUAGAAAAAAAUUAACUGUGAAUUCAGACUAGAACUUUUAGUGUGUUAAAAUGCUUACUGGAAAAUGAAUAUUAUGUCAAAAUGUGAAUCUUCAAGAACAGAUGCUAAAACAUUUAAAUUGAAGCCCAAGUUAGUGCUGCAAAAAUACAGAUUUAUGCACUGUUAAAAGAACCAUGUGAAUUUCCAAAUCAGAGAAA
Molecule: long non-coding RNA, 765 nt
Organism: Sarcophilus harrisii (Tasmanian devil)
Lineage: Eukaryota; Metazoa; Chordata; Mammalia; Dasyuromorphia; Dasyuridae
Exons: 3
Source: RefSeq, a predicted model, not a curated record